This 484-nucleotide ribosomal RNA is filed under the name uncultured bacterium. Its description in RNAcentral is "partial 16S ribosomal RNA". It matches the Rfam family "Bacterial small subunit ribosomal RNA", at positions 29 to 507 of the family's 1533-position model. The record is from RNAcentral.
AUUGAACGCUGGCGGCAUGCUUUACACAUGCAAGUCGAACGGCAGCGCGGGCUUCGGCCUGGCGGCGAGUGGCGAACGGGUGAGUAAUACAUCGGAACGUGCCCAGUAGUGGGGGAUAGCUCGGCGAAAGCCGGAUUAAUACCGCAUACGACCUGAGGGUGAAAGCGGGGGAUCUUCGGACCUCGCGCUCUUUGAGCGGCCGAUGGCAGAUAAGCUAGUUGGUGGGGUAACGGCUUACCAAGGCGACGAUCUGUAGCUGGUCUGAGAGGACGACCAGCCACACUGGGACUGAGACACGGCCCAGACUCCUACGGGAGGCAGCAGUGGGGAAUUUUGGACAAUGGGCGAAAGCCUGAUCCAGCAAUGCCGCGUGUGUGAUGAAGGCCUUCGGGUUGUAAAGCACUUUUGGCGGGAACGAAAAGGACUGUGCCAAUACCACGGUUCGAUGACGGUACCCGCAGAAUAAGCACCGGCUAACUACGUG